This 543-nucleotide ribosomal RNA is filed under the name Eurynogaster nr. maculata 126. RNAcentral's name for it is "partial 12S ribosomal RNA". Lineage: Eukaryota; Metazoa; Arthropoda; Insecta; Diptera; Dolichopodidae. The record is from RNAcentral.
GUGCCAGCAGCUGCGGUUAUACAAAAAAUACAAAUAAAUUUUAUUAAAUUAAGUUAAAUUGAUAAGUAUUUAAUAAUAAAAAAAUUUUUAGGUGAAAUUUUAAUUUUUUUAUUUUUAAAAUUAAAAGAAAUGUUGAAGCUAAAAAAUUUUGUUAAUAAACUAGGAUUAGAUACCCUAUUAUAAAAAAAUGUAUUUUUGAAAAAAAAUUAGAGUAGUAAUAGCUAUGGUCUUGAAACUCAAAAAAUUUGGCGGUAUUUUAGUCUAUUCAGAGGAACCUGUGGUGUAAUCGAUAAUCCACGAUGAAUCUUACUUAUUUUUGUUUUUCAAUUUGUAUACCGCCGUUAUUUAAAAAUUUUUUGAAAAUAAUAAUUUUUAUAAUUUUUUAUUAAAUAGAAAGUCAGGUCAAGGUGCAGUUUAUAUUUAAGUAUUUCAUGGGUUACAAUAAAUUUAUUUAUACGGAUUAAAUUAUGAAAUUAGUUUAUGAAGGGGGAUUUGGUAGUAAAUUUUUAAAGAUUAAAAAAUUGAUUUUAGCUCUAAAAUAUG